GCUCCAAGAGUGUAUAUUAAAGUUGUUGCGGUUGAAAAGCUCGUAGUUGGAUUUAUGCUAUGCUGGUACAGUCGACCCCCUGGGUAGGACUUGUAUUGUUGCAUUGCACAUUGUAGAAUUUUUGUACGUUUUUCAGUAAAUGUGCAGCACGCAGGUUGCGCCGUGAACAUGCUAGCAUGGCAUGACGCUGUAUGACUACG
RNAcentral lists this ribosomal RNA (200 nucleotides) under uncultured eukaryote. Its description in RNAcentral is "partial 18S ribosomal RNA". The record is from RNAcentral.